RNAcentral lists this long non-coding RNA (290 nucleotides) under Mytilus galloprovincialis (Mediterranean mussel). Lineage: Eukaryota; Metazoa; Mollusca; Bivalvia; Mytilida; Mytilidae. The record is from RNAcentral.
CCGAUUAUUACCAUGAUUACUAGUAAAACUAUCUUGUUAGCUUAUAAGCACAUUUAUCAUUUUAUGGUAUAGAAGCAAACGUAGGAUGAUGGGAUGCAAGAUGGAACUAGAUAUCUUCAAAAUUUAGUUAUCUCAAAUAUACGGAGUGAAAUUAGUUGACAUCUCAAGGUUCCUAUUGUUUGUUUAGAUUUAACAAACUGUCUUUUCCGCACGUUUUCAAAAUAAAAUAAUCAGAAUGCAUGACACACUUCUACAACAGAACUGUUCCACAAGUCCGAAUUCAAAAAUAG